GAUGAACGCUGGCGGCGUGCCUAAUACAUGCAAGUCGAGCGACCAGACGAUGAGCUUUCUCCUCUGACGUUAGCGGCGGACGGGUGAGUAACACGUGGAUAACCUACCUAUUAUACUGGGAUAAUUUCGGAAAACCGGAGCUAAUACCCGAUAAUAUAUUGAACCGCAUGGUUCAAUAGUUAAAGACAGUUUUGCUGUCACUUAUAGAUGGAUCCGGGCCGGAUUAGCUAGUUGGUAAGGUAACGGCUUACCAAGGCAACGAUGCGUAGCCGACCUGAGAGGGUGAUCGGCCACACUGGAACUGAGACACGGUCCAGACUCCUACGGGAGGCAGCAGUGGGGAAUAUUGGGCAAUGGGCGAAAGCCUGACGGAGCCACGCCGCGUGAGUGAUGAAGGUCUUCGGAUCGUAAAACUCUGUUAUUGGGGAAGAAAAGAUGUGGGAGUAACUAUGCACGUGUUGACGGUACCUAAUGAGAAAGCACCGGCUAACUACGUG
RNAcentral lists this ribosomal RNA (497 nucleotides) under uncultured bacterium. RNAcentral's name for it is "partial 16S ribosomal RNA". It matches the Rfam family "Bacterial small subunit ribosomal RNA", at positions 28 to 507 of the family's 1533-position model. The record is from RNAcentral.